Molecule: ribosomal RNA, 332 nt
Filed under: uncultured bacterium
Lineage: Bacteria
Description: bacterial SSU rRNA
Rfam family: Bacterial small subunit ribosomal RNA
Source: RNAcentral
CGCGUAGGCGGGAUGGCAAGUCGGUCGUGAAAUCCUUCGGCUCAACCGAAGAACGUCGGCCGAAACUGCCACUCUUGAGGGAUGCAGAGGAGACUGGAAUUCCCGGUGUAGCGGUGAAAUGUGUAGAGAUCGGGAGGAACACCGGUGGCGAAGGCGGGUCUCUGGGCAUCUCCUGACGCUGAGGCGCGAAAGCGUGGGGAGCAAACGGGAUUAGAUACCCCGGUAGUCCACGCUGUAAACGAUGACGACUAGGUGUGGGGUGGUUCAGUCCACUCCGUGCCGCAGCUAACGCAUUAAGUCGUCCGCCUGGGGAGUACGGCCGCAAGGUUGAA